UUUAUGCAUAAAUAUAUGUUCUCACACCACAUUGGAUUCGCAAGCCACCUGUGAAAAGUAAAAUGAAACAACAGCAUCCCUUACUAUGAGAUCCCAAGUCAUUUUGCUCCCAAUGGAUUUGCAUGGCUACAGGACCUUUUAGCUGUAGUAGAGCUCGAGGCCCAUGCCAUCGUGAAUCUCAUAAUCCUUAAGAGUGAUAUGAUCCUUGUAUACGGUGUACCACUUCUGUAUCCUUAUCUUCUCGGCUCUAGUGCCGGUCUGCGCCGCUACCAGCUUCUUCAGGUCGCCGAUUGUGUCGUCCUCAUUACACUUCACUCUC
RNAcentral lists this unclassified non-coding RNA (319 nucleotides) under Hevea brasiliensis (rubber tree). Lineage: Eukaryota; Viridiplantae; Streptophyta; Magnoliopsida; Malpighiales; Euphorbiaceae. The record is from RNAcentral.